AGAGUUUGAUCAUGGCUCAGAAUCAACGCUGGCGGCGUGCCUAACACAUGCAAGUCGAACGCGAAAGUCCCGCAAGGGAUAAGUAGAGUGGCAAACGGGUGAGUAACACGUGGGUGACCUGCCUUCGAGCGGGGGAUAACGUCCCGAAAGGGACGCUAAUACCGCAUGACAUCCUGCCUUUGAAGAGGCGGAGAUCAAAGCCGGGGAUCGCAAGACCUGGCACUCGAAGAGGGGCCCGCGCCUGAUUAGCUAGUUGGUGGGGUAAUGGCUCACCAAGGCGACGAUCAGUAGCCGGCCUGAGAGGGCGGACGGCCACACUGGGACUGAGACACGGCCCAGACUCCUACGGGAGGCAGCAGUGGGGAAUUGUUCGCAAUGGGCGCAAGCCUGACGACGCAACGCCGCGUGGAGGACGAAGACCUUCGGGUCGUAAACUCCUUUCGAUCGAGACGAAUGGCCUUCGGGUGAACAAUCCGGAGGAAUGACGGUACCGAGAGAAGAAGCCCCGGCUAACUCCGUGCCAGCAGCCGCGGUAAUACGGGGGGGGCAAGCGUUGUUCGGAAUUACUGGGCGUAAAGGGCUCGUAGGUGGCCAACUAAGUCAGACGUGAAAUCCCUCAGCUUAACUGGGGAACUGCGUCUGAUACUGGAUGGCUUGAGUUUGGGAGAGGGAUGCGGAAUUCCAGGUGUAGCGGUGAAAUGCGUAGAUAUCUGGAGGAACACCGGUGGCGAAGGCGGCAUCCUGGACCAACACUGACACUGAUGAGCGAAAGCCAGGGGAGCAAACGGGAUUAGAUACCCUAGUAGUCC
This 809-nucleotide ribosomal RNA is filed under the name uncultured bacterium. RNAcentral's name for it is "bacterial SSU rRNA". It matches the Rfam family "Bacterial small subunit ribosomal RNA", at positions 8 to 796 of the family's 1533-position model. The record is from RNAcentral.